This 374-nucleotide long non-coding RNA is filed under the name Mytilus galloprovincialis (Mediterranean mussel). Lineage: Eukaryota; Metazoa; Mollusca; Bivalvia; Mytilida; Mytilidae. The record is from RNAcentral.
CUAGACUCCCAAGGCCAUUUUAACAAACUAAUCAAAUAUGAGAGAAAUGUUUUUUUUUUUGUUUUUUUUUAAAUUAAAUCAAAAAUAUAUUGCUAAGUGCAUUUAUUAUUAUUUUCAUUUCAAUUUUGGUGUCAAUUUUGCCUUGUGAGUUUCGUCCCUUUAACGCUUUUUCUAAAAAAUAGUAACAUUGGUAAGCUGGUUUCAUUUCAAGUUUAAUAUCAAAUAAGUUUUUAUAGAAUUUAUGGAAAAUGUUGAAAUUCAGAAAGGGAAUUGAUGUAAUUAUCUGAAAAAUGAUUCAUAUUUAUUUUCUUAAUAGUUAAUUUGAAAGUUUAUUUAAAAACUGUGAUAGUUUUAUUAUUUCAAAAAAAGUUUAA